This 66-nucleotide transfer RNA is filed under the name Argopistes sp. BMNH 846608. RNAcentral describes it as "tRNA-Trp". The record is from RNAcentral. Lineage: Eukaryota; Metazoa; Arthropoda; Insecta; Coleoptera; Chrysomelidae.
AAGGAUUUAAGUUAAAAAUAAACUUUUAACCUUCAAAGUUAACAAUAGAAAAUUUUCUAAGCCUUA